Molecule: ribosomal RNA, 397 nt
Filed under: Escherichia coli
Lineage: Bacteria; Pseudomonadati; Pseudomonadota; Gammaproteobacteria; Enterobacterales; Enterobacteriaceae
Description: partial 23S ribosomal RNA
Rfam family: Bacterial large subunit ribosomal RNA
Source: RNAcentral
CCUGGGGCUGAAGUAGGUCCCAAGGGUAUGGCUGUUCGCCAUUUAAAGUGGUACGCGAGCUGGGUUUAGAACGUCGUGAGACAGUUCGGUCCCUAUCUGCCGUGGGCGCUGGAGAAUUGAGGGGGGCUGCUCCUAGUACGAGAGGACCGGAGUGGACGCAUCACUGGUGUUCGGGUUGUCAUGCCAAUGGCACUGCCCGGUAGCUAAAUGCGGAAGAGAUAAGUGCUGAAAGCAUCUAAGCACGAAACUUGCCCCGAGAUGAGUUCUCCCUGACUCCUUGAGAGUCCUGAAGGAACGUUGAAGACGACGACGUUGAUAGGCCGGGUGUGUAAGCGCAGCGAUGCGUUGAGCUAACCGGUACUAAUGAACCGUGAGGCUUAACCUUACAACGCCGAAG